UGGGGAAUAUUGCACAAUGGGCGAAAGCCUGAUGCAGCGACGCCGCGUGGAGGAUGAAGGCCUUCGGGUCGUAAACUCCUGUCUGGGGGGAUGAAUAAUGACAGUACCCCCGGAGGAAGCCCCGGCUAACUACGUGCCAGCAGCCGCGGUAAUACGUAGGGGGCAAGCGUUGUCCGGAAUUACUGGGCGUAAAGCGCGCGCAGGUGGCUUGUUAAGUCAGGUGUCAAAAUGCGGGGCUCAACUCCGCAGCGCACUUGAAACUGGCAGGCUUGAGUGCAGGAGAGGAAAGUGGAAUUCCUAGUGUAGCGGUGAAAUGCGUAGAUAUUAGGAGGAACACCAGUGGCGAAGGCGACUUUCUGGACUGCAACUGACACUGAGGCGCGAAAGCUAGGGGAGCAAACAG
Molecule: ribosomal RNA, 403 nt
Filed under: uncultured organism
Description: bacterial SSU rRNA
Rfam family: Bacterial small subunit ribosomal RNA
Source: RNAcentral